AAGUCGUAACAAGGUCUCCGUUGGUGAACCUGCGGAAGGAUCAUUACCGAGUGCGGGCCCUUUCUGGGCCUAACCUCCCACCCGUGUCUCUUGCGCACCCUGUUGCUUUGGCGGGCCCACCGGGUCAUUCCGGUCGCCGGGGGGCACCAUGCCCCCGGGCCCGCGCCUGCCAGAGCACCCCUGUGAACCCUGAGGAAGAGUGGCUGUCUGAGUCGGAUGAUAAUCAUUAAAACUUUCAACAAUGGAUCUCUUGGUUCCG
This 259-nucleotide unclassified non-coding RNA is filed under the name Talaromyces sp. Its description in RNAcentral is "partial internal transcribed spacer region". The stretch from base 1 to 46 matches the Rfam family "Eukaryotic small subunit ribosomal RNA", at positions 1786 to 1831 of the family's 1831-position model. The record is from RNAcentral. Lineage: Eukaryota; Fungi; Ascomycota; Eurotiomycetes; Eurotiales; Trichocomaceae.